UAGCUAGUUGGUGAGGUAACGGCUUACCAAGGCGACGAUCUGUAGCGGGUCUGAGAGGAUGAUCCGCCACACUGGAACUGAGACACGGUCCAGACUCCUACGGGAGGCAGCAGUGGGGAAUUUUGGACAAUGGGGGCAACCCUGAUCCAGCCAUGCCGCGUGAGUGAAGAAGGCCUUCGGGUUGUAAAGCUCUUUCGGCCGGGAAGAAAUCGCAUGGGCCAAUACCCUGUGUGGAUGACGGUACCGGAAUAAGAAGCACCGGCUAACUACGUGCCAGCAGCCGCGGUAAUACGUAGGGUGCGAGCGUUAAUCGGAAUUACUGGGCGUAAAGCGUGCGCAGGCGGUUUUGUAAGACAGGCGUGAAAUCCCCGGGCUCAACCUGGGAACUGCGUUUGUGACUGCAAGGCUAGAGUACGGCAGAGGGGGGUGGAAUUCCACGUGUAGCAGUGAAAUGCGUAGAGAUGUGGAGGAACACCAAUGGCGAAGGCAGCCCCCUGGGUCGAUACUGACGCUCAUGCACGAAAGCGUGGGUAGCAAACAGGAUUAGAUACCCUGGUAGUCCACGCCCUAAACUAUGUCAACUAGGUGUUGGGUGGGUAAAACCAUUUAGUACCGUAGCUAACGCGUGAAGUUGACCGCCUGGGGAGUACGGCCGCAAGGUUAAAACUCAAAGGAAUUGACGGGGACCCGCACAAGCGGUGGAUGAUGUGGAUUAAUUCGAUGCAACGCGAAAAACCUUACCUACCCUUGACAUGCCAGGAACUUGCCAGAGAUGGCUUGGUGCCCGAAAGGGAGCCUGGACACAGGUGCUGCAUGGCUGUCGUCAGCUCGUGUCGUGAGAUGUUGGGUUAAGUCCCGCAACGAGCGCAACCCUUGUCGUUAAUUGCCAUCAUUUAGUUGGGCACUUUAGCGAGACUGCCGGUGACAAACCGGAGGAAGGUGGGGAUGACGUCAAGUCCUCAUGGCCCUUAUGGGUAGGGCUUCACACGUCAUACAAUGGUCGGUACAGAGGGUCGCCAAGCCGCGAGGUGGAGCCAAUCCUAGAAAGCCGAUCGUAGUCCGGAUUGCAGGCUGCAACUCGCCUGCAUGAAGUCGGAAUCGCUAGUAAUCGUGGAUCAGCAUGUCACGGUGAAUACGUUCCCGGGUCUUGUACACACCGCCCGUCACACCAUGGGAGCGGGUUCCGCCAGAAGUAGGUAGCCUAACCGCAAGGAGGGCGCUUACCACGGCGGGGUUCGUGACUGGGGUGAAGUCGUAACAAGGUAGCCGUAGGGGAACCUGCGGCUG
Molecule: ribosomal RNA, 1287 nt
Filed under: metagenome
Description: bacterial SSU rRNA
Rfam family: Bacterial small subunit ribosomal RNA
Source: RNAcentral